This 52-nucleotide small RNA is filed under the name Arabidopsis thaliana (thale cress). RNAcentral describes it as "ATSL148110". The record is from RNAcentral. Lineage: Eukaryota; Viridiplantae; Streptophyta; Magnoliopsida; Brassicales; Brassicaceae.
CCCAAAUGCUGUUUGUACAUCAAAUUAAAAACCGGAAAGUACUUGUGCAAUC